CUCACAAUGAUCCUCAGCUCCUGGUAGCCACGCCAUUAUAUAAUCUCUUCUCACACUAAAUCAGGGGUUAACUGCGUAAUCAAUAGAAUAUGGCAGAAGUGAUGGUGUGUGACCUCAGAUGCUAGGUCAUAAAAGAGAAUGACACUUCCACCUUCUUGGAUUUCUCACCCUGGGGAAAUCCACACCAUGUCAUAACACUCAAGCAGUCCCCUGGAAAGGACCCUCUGAAGAGGAAAUGAGGUCUCCCAUCAGCAGCUACAGCCAACUUGCCAGCCAUGUCAGAUGACACUUUCAUGAAGAAGUUUCCCUGAGGGCUCACCUUUGUUUCAGAAAACUGAAGGCACUGGAUGGAUUUCAAAACGACUGCCCUUUCCCUCCCCUUGCCAGAAGCAAGAGGGCGUUUUUCUCUGAUCUUCACUGUGAGAACCUCAAGUGGCUUCUGGAGGUGGAUUGGCAAAGGGCUUGAGGACUCACCUGAGUCACAUGACCACGCACUCUGGCACGGACGCUGAAGGAGGGUGCUCCCUACCCUGCUGCUCUCAGGCAAGACCUUUGGAUCACUUCUAAUAGAGCCUCCCUCCCCCUCCAGCCAGGAAGCAAAGUCUGGCCAGGCCACCAGGAGAGCCUAAGGAAUAGGGUCUCCAGUGUAAGAGCCCUUCCCUCUCCUUCCUUCUCCUCCCCACCCCUCCCCACCCCGCUCCUCUACCCCUGCCCUGUGCUUACUAGUAGGUAACUGUCCGAGAAGGAAGUAGAGGCUGGUGAGGUGCCUGGAGGGCAGAAGGAAUGAGGUUGGCGCAGGCUCCGCACCAGCAGCCAGCACCUGUGGAGGCGGAUCAUGAUGGGUUGCUGAGCAGGUGGGAGUUUAGCCGCUAGCCCUGAGCGCAGUGAGUACAGCAUCUCAAAGGAAAUCCAAGUAACUUUGCAAGGGAGUUGUCUCAUGAUGUUUCAAAAUGUGCCCAUGAGUAAAAAGAAAAAUCAAAGCUCAGAAUAAAUAUGUUG
Long non-coding RNA from Myotis myotis, 999 nucleotides. RefSeq lists it as uncharacterized. The record is from RefSeq and is a predicted model, not a curated record. The transcript is spliced from 3 exons. NCBI's taxonomy places the organism in Eukaryota, Metazoa, Chordata, Mammalia, Chiroptera, Vespertilionidae.